GAGAGUAUAGCUCAGUGGCAGAGCGCAUGCUUAGCAUGCUCGAGGUCCUGCGUUCAAUCCCCAGUACCUCCA
RNAcentral lists this transfer RNA (72 nucleotides) under Camelus ferus (Wild Bactrian camel). It matches the Rfam family "tRNA". Rfam says of the family: Transfer RNA (tRNA) molecules are approximately 80 nucleotides in length. Their secondary structure includes four short double-helical elements and three loops (D, anti-codon, and T loops). Further hydrogen bonds mediate the characteristic L-shaped molecular structure. tRNAs have two regions of fundamental functional importance: the anti-codon, which is responsible for specific mRNA codon recognition, and the 3' end, to which the tRNAs corresponding amino acid is attached (by aminoacyl-tRNA synthetases). tRNAs cope with the degeneracy of the genetic code in two manners: having more than one tRNA (with a specific anti-codon) for a particular amino acid; and 'wobble' base-pairing, i.e. permitting non-standard base-pairing at the 3rd anti-codon position. The record is from Rfam by way of RNAcentral. Lineage: Eukaryota; Metazoa; Chordata; Mammalia; Artiodactyla; Camelidae.